Molecule: ribosomal RNA, 119 nt
Organism: Lepisosteus oculatus (spotted gar)
Lineage: Eukaryota; Metazoa; Chordata; Actinopteri; Semionotiformes; Lepisosteidae
Source: Ensembl
GCCAGCAGCCAUAUCACUCUGCAACUCACAACUAGCAGCCCACUGAAGCUAAACAGGUUUGAGCCUGGUCAGUACCUGAAUGGGAGACCUCCUGGGAAAAACUAAGGUUGCUGCUGGAA